RNAcentral lists this long non-coding RNA (658 nucleotides) under Bos indicus x Bos taurus (hybrid cattle). RNAcentral describes it as "lncRNA (ENSBIXG00000019856.1)". The record is from RNAcentral. Lineage: Eukaryota; Metazoa; Chordata; Mammalia; Artiodactyla; Bovidae.
AGAGGAUGAGAUGGUUGGAUGGCAUUGUCGACAUGAUGGACAUGAGUUUGAGUAGGCUCCAGGAGUUGGUUAUGGACAGAGAAACCUGGCAUGCUGCAUCCUAUAGAGUUGCAGAGUCAGACACGACUGAGCAACUGAACUGAGCUGAACUGAUCCAUCUAGAAAUUGUUAAUACCCAGGAUGUCAGCAUUCUCCUUUCGCUAGGCCACUUGCUCUCAUCUGGGAUAUUAAAACCAAGGAUGUAGCAAUCAGCAACGAAGUGUGUUGUAAAUUACAACUAAAGACAACUGACUCUUCAUCUGACAUCAGCCUCAGCUUCUUUACCUGCACUUUAGCCUUGAAGAAUCUUGCCACCCAGUUUGGAAGAAAGAGAGACAGAGCUCUGGGAUCACUUUACUGGAUGUCACCUGUUCUGUGCGGGAGGAAGAUCACACUCUGCCUUGAAACCCAGAAAUAAAAAAGUUUCCAGUUCCUCUUCAUUAUGGUUCUGAACAGCUGAACUUAGGCUCUGAAGUGCUAUUUUCCCAGUCUUCUCAGAAACAUGAUGACUUUAUCAGAGAUUAUGGAUGGAAGGCUCAAUUGUCACUGAGCUAGAUGGAGCCAGAAAUGACUUGGAUUUCAAGUAGAAUUGAAGAAUUUCUUUUGGAACCAAUGACAG